RNAcentral lists this ribosomal RNA (965 nucleotides) under uncultured organism. RNAcentral's name for it is "bacterial SSU rRNA". It matches the Rfam family "Bacterial small subunit ribosomal RNA", at positions 517 to 1495 of the family's 1533-position model. The record is from RNAcentral.
GCGGUAAGACGUAGGACGCGAGCGUUAUCCGGAAUAACUGGGCGUAAAGGGCCAGCAGNCGGCUUGGUAAGUUGUGCGUGAAAGCCUCGUGCUCAACGCGAGGAAGCCGGACAAUACUGUCAAGCUAGAGGGCAUCAGAGGGGAGUGGAAUUCCCGGAGUAGCGGUAAAAUGCGCAGAUAUCGGGAGGAACACCGAUGGCGAAGGCAGCUCCCUGGGAUGCACCUGACGCUAAGAGGCGAAAGCUAGGGGAGCGAACAGGAUUAGAGACCCUGGUAGUCCUAGCUGUAAACGCUGGGUGCUAGGUGUGGGACGUAGAAGUUCCGUGCCGGAGCAAACGCGAUAAGCACCCCGCCUGGGAAUUACGGUCGCAAGGCUAAAACUCAAACGAAUUGACGGGGCCCCGCACAAGCAGCGGAGCGUGUGGUUCAAUUCGAUGCUACACGAAGAACCUUACCUGGGUUUGACAUGUACGUGGUACGAAGGCGAAAGCCUAAGGACCCUUCGGGGAGCGUGCACAGGUGCUGCAUGGCUGUCGUCAGCUCGUGCCGUGAGGUGUCGGGUUAAGUCCCGUAACGAGCGCAACCCUUGCCCUUAGUUACAAGUGUCUAAGGGGACUGCCGGCGGGAAGCCGGAGGAAGGUGGGGAUGACGUCAAGUCAGCAUGGCCCUUAUGUCCAGGGCUACACACACGCUACAAUGGUCAGUACGAAGGGUAGCGAAGUCGCGAGGCGGAGCGAAUCUCAACAAAGCUGAUCGUAGUUCGGAUUGCAGGCUGCAACCCGCCUGCAUGAAGCUGGAGUUGCUAGUAACCGCGCGUCAGCCAUAGUGCGGUGAAUACGUACCCGGGGCUUGUACACACCGCCCGUCACGUCAUGGGAGUCGGUAACGCCUGAAGCCGGUAGUCUGGCCCGCAAGGGGGACGCUGUCGAAGGCGGGACUGGCAACUGGGACGAAGUCGUAACAAG